Molecule: long non-coding RNA, 576 nt
Organism: Bos taurus (domestic cattle)
Lineage: Eukaryota; Metazoa; Chordata; Mammalia; Artiodactyla; Bovidae
Source: Ensembl
GCCACGAGCAGCGGGAAGCAGGGAAGUGAGGUCAAAGUCAACGGUGGGGUUCGCGUCUGGACGACUGCUAUUAUAGUCCUAAUGAGGCUUAAACACCACACGUUGCUCCUGCGAUGAACUCGGUUUCUCAUUAUGCUCCAUAUCUGCUCCAGGAUCAGCCAGCCACAUGGCAGGAGUGGUUUCCCCUUCAUCCGGCUGAUGAAUUAUCAAGGGGACAUGCACACUACUGGAAUAACAAUAAUUUGAGGCACAAAUAGCCCUGAUCCCAAAUCUUAUUUUUUUCUGGGUCAUGGAGCAGCCCAGGAAGGACCUUGCAGCAUUUAGAUUCCAGUGUUAAGGCCAUCAGAAAACAUCCUGGUUUUUCUUCAAAUUUAGAACACUUGGUUGGACAGGAUGAAGCUCCAUCUGCUGUGGAGUUGCCUAACUCAGCUCAAGAACAAGCUUGCAGGCACUUGGAUUUCCAACACAGUGGCCCAACCAGCAGUAUGAAGAGAUGCCUAGACUCCUCUUUCCAACCCCAUGGGUCCCUGCCAGUAGCUUACUAUCACAAAACGAAUUAUAUGAUAAAUAUUUGCC